RNAcentral lists this microRNA (25 nucleotides) under Homo sapiens (human). RNAcentral's name for it is "hsa-miR-6782-5p". The record is from miRBase by way of RNAcentral. Lineage: Eukaryota; Metazoa; Chordata; Mammalia; Primates; Hominidae.
UAGGGGUGGGGGAAUUCAGGGGUGU